Molecule: long non-coding RNA, 343 nt
Filed under: Vitis vinifera (wine grape)
Lineage: Eukaryota; Viridiplantae; Streptophyta; Magnoliopsida; Vitales; Vitaceae
Description: long non-coding RNA (VVIN_LNC002790)
Source: RNAcentral
UUAUCGCUCCCUUGUUUAAACUUUUGAGAUGGUACUCAAGAGGCCAAUAGAGAGAGAGGGGGGGUUGUUAUCGCUUUCUCAUUUAAACUUUUGAGACAAUACUCAAGAGGCCCACAAAAAAAAGAGAAAGAGAGUACUCAAGAGGCCCAUAGAGAGAAAGGGGGGGGUUGUUAUCGCUCUCUCAUUUAAACUUUUGAGACAAUACUCGAGAGGCCCACAAAAAAAAAAAAGAGAAAGAGAGUACUCAAGAGGCCCAUAGAGAGAGAGAGGGGGGUGUUAUCGCUCUCAUUUGAACUUUUGAGACAAUACUCAAGAGGCCCACAGAAAGAGAGAAAGAGAGAGG